CUUAGUAGCGGCGAGUGAACAGGCAAGAGCUCAGAUUUGAAAGCCCUCGGGCAUUGUAUUCUGAAGCCUUGGUCCUGAGAAUCGGUGUUUAAGUCUUCUGGAAAGGAGCGCCAUGGAGGGUGAUAGCCCCGUACGACACCACUCUCAUUGUAGGACUUUGGCAUGGAGUCGAGUUGUUUGGGAAUGCAGCUCAAAUGGGUGGUAUGCUCCAUCUAAAGCUAAAUAUCUGCGAGAGACCGAUAGCGAACAAGUACUGUGAAGGAAAGAUGAAAAGAACUUUGAAAAGAGAGUGAAAAAGUACGUGAAAUUGUUGAAAUGGAAGGAUAGGCCGCUAACCAUGUAGGGUCGUGUUCGAGGGGAAGAUAAAAGCUGAAGAAUGUAGCUCCUCGGAGUGUUAUAGCUUCAGUCCAUAUUCCCUCUCGAGCGCGAGGAUGAAGAC
Molecule: ribosomal RNA, 439 nt
Filed under: Starmerella apicola
Lineage: Eukaryota; Fungi; Ascomycota; Dipodascomycetes; Dipodascales; Trichomonascaceae
Description: partial large subunit ribosomal RNA
Rfam family: Eukaryotic large subunit ribosomal RNA
Source: RNAcentral